UGCAUCUCCUUGAAAGCUGUCCCCGAUGGGAUUUCCAGGUACCGCCAGUCUGUGUGUGUCUGUGUGUCUGUCUGUGUGUGUCCGCGUGUGUAUCUUCCUGUGUGUGUGUUGAUUAGUGUGUGGGAGCCCUGUAUGCUGGACAUGAGUGUGGCCAGCGCACCCCAGCGUGGUUAGUCGGUCGUCCCUCUACCUUCUGGUGCCUGUGUGUCCUGGGCUCAGCUCAGGGGCUGUGGGGCCCCGCCUUCUUUGUGUUGCUCCCGGUUUCUGAAACCUUAGUGUAGUGGGGGUGUGGCUGCCACCCGCAGGCCCCCUAAUCACCUGCCGAUCCCUAGGAGUCAAUCCUCCUGAAAGAAGACCAACACAGCACACCCAAAAGCAAACUCUUCCAUGGGCCCUUGGUCCUAUGGCACAUGUAGGGCUGUUACUG
This 427-nucleotide long non-coding RNA is filed under the name Aotus nancymaae (Ma's night monkey). RNAcentral's name for it is "lncRNA (ENSANAG00000038875.1)". The record is from RNAcentral. Lineage: Eukaryota; Metazoa; Chordata; Mammalia; Primates; Aotidae.